UACGGGGGGAGCAAGCGUUGUUCGGAUUUACUGGGCGUAAAGGGCGCGUAGGCGGCGCAACAAGUCACUUGUGAAAUCUCCGGGCUUAACUCGGAGCGGUCAAGUGAUACUGUCGUGCUAGAGUGCGGAAGGGGCAACUGGAAUUCUCGGUGUAGCGGUGAAAUGCGUAGAUAUCGAGAGGAACACCUGCGGCGAAGGCGGGUUGCUGGGCCGACACUGACGCUGAGGCGCGAAAGCCAGGGGAGCGAACGGG
RNAcentral lists this ribosomal RNA (253 nucleotides) under uncultured bacterium. Its description in RNAcentral is "partial 16S ribosomal RNA". It matches the Rfam family "Bacterial small subunit ribosomal RNA", at positions 524 to 776 of the family's 1533-position model. The record is from RNAcentral.